Molecule: unclassified non-coding RNA, 223 nt
Filed under: uncultured fungus
Lineage: Eukaryota; Fungi
Description: sequence contains ITS1
Source: RNAcentral
GUAUUUAGAUUAUGACUCUCACGCUUUCAAAGGCGUUCAAGCUUGAUCACGUUCUAUGAUUUGAUUGGGGUAUGUAGUAGUUACGUAGAGGAGCUUACGCUCCCCUACAGAUGGUUCACAGGUGUUUGUUAAAGUCCAGGAGCGUGCACAUGCCCUCUCGGGCCAGCACAGCUCCCUUCGUUUGAAUUCGUUAAUGAUCCUUCCGCAGGUUCACCUACGGAAA